Molecule: non-coding RNA, 93 nt
Organism: Mycena olivaceomarginata
Lineage: Eukaryota; Fungi; Basidiomycota; Agaricomycetes; Agaricales; Mycenaceae
Source: the annotation of a GenBank genome assembly
GCGCCCUUGGUGUACGGUAAACACACGUCUUACAUCUGCUUGUUGCAAAGAAAGAUUUGAGACGAGUCCGGGGUUUGAGUCCCCGAGGGUGCA